GUUUCAGGCACUGAUAUCUUCUCGCGAUCGCCCAGAAAAUACUUGCUCAUUUGGCAGUUACGUGUGAAUAGUCAUUUUUCCAGAGCGGAACCAGGAACGUCGAUAUUUUUUCCGUUUGUGAUUGAGAAUUGCGUUUCAGCAGGAAGCAAGUCUCCGGAAGGGAAUGAGGCCGGGAAUUUCAAAUGAAAUGUAGUCAUUUGACCGCUAGGAGCUGUGAACUACAACUGCAGUAGGUUUCUGCAGCUUCAUAGCUCCAUUGAACGAGUCAUAAACCAAAAAUUGAAGAUGAAAGCAUGCGUAGAUGGCCUGAAAGCUAAGAAUAUACUCAAGCCUUAAGUACAGUAUGGGCACAGAAAGCACAGUGUCAUGCAGUGUAAGGCUUAAAUAAAAGGAUGGAUAACUGUCUGGUUGAAA
Long non-coding RNA from Salmo salar (Atlantic salmon), 414 nucleotides. RefSeq lists it as uncharacterized. Lineage: Eukaryota; Metazoa; Chordata; Actinopteri; Salmoniformes; Salmonidae. The record is from RefSeq and is a predicted model, not a curated record.